AAAACUAUACUUUCAGGGAUCACGUCUAUAGUUUCUUACUAGAGAAGUUUCUCUGAACGUGUAGAGUACCUGAACGCAUGAGUAAGAGGCGCAACGUCCUCUCCUGAGUGUGAAGCUGGCCUUUGGUGCUACUUUCGCAAUUGCUAUUGGCCCAUUGAUAAUCGUUCUUCUCUUCCUUUGGAAGAGAAAGAGGGAAAGGAUUAGCGCGGUCUCAGUGGU
Small nucleolar RNA from Pteronotus mesoamericanus, 219 nucleotides. RefSeq annotates it as small nucleolar RNA U3. The record is from RefSeq and is a predicted model, not a curated record. NCBI's taxonomy places the organism in Eukaryota, Metazoa, Chordata, Mammalia, Chiroptera, Mormoopidae. The transcript has a single exon.